UACGUAGGGUGCGAGCGUUGUCCGGAAUUAUUGGGCGUAAAGGGCUCGUAGGCGGUUUGUCGCGUCGGGAGUGAAAACCCAGGGCUUAACUCUGGGCUGGCUUCCGAUACGGGCAGACUAGAGGUAUGCAGGGGAGAACGGAAUUCCUGGUGUAGCGGUGAAAUGCGCAGAUAUCAGGAGGAACACCGGUGGCGAAGGCGGUUCUCUGGGCAUUACCUGACGCUGAGGAGCGAAAGUGUGGGGAGCGAACAGG
RNAcentral lists this ribosomal RNA (253 nucleotides) under uncultured bacterium. Its description in RNAcentral is "partial 16S ribosomal RNA". It matches the Rfam family "Bacterial small subunit ribosomal RNA", at positions 524 to 776 of the family's 1533-position model. The record is from RNAcentral.